CAUCCUAUCUUUUUCUGAACAGGCUGAGAACGUGAACCUGUCAAUGUUUGGUAAAUUGUUAUGGCCGUGGAGUAUCAUUUUCUCUUUUUUUUACAUUGAAUGUGAUUAGGUUUGUAUUGAAAUCAGCUGCCCCGGGUUUAAAGUGGUGCUGUAAGAUGUAUAUCGUUAUUGAGACGUUUAUGACGAAUAGUAAAAUGCUGUGAUAGCAUUGAUAGAUCAGCUGCCCUUACUUUCGGAAAAGGGACCUACUUAUCCGUGGAACCAAAGGGAGAUAACAGGGAGCCGAUGUUGUCGAUCCUCGAGAACAAAGAACAUCCGGACCUACCCGUUUGCCUGGCCACGGGGUUCUUCCCGAAAGACGGUCACAUGAAUCUGAUGUCUGAUAAAGGCCCGAAAAGCCCGAUUGUCUUAAACAAUGCCCCACUGUCCUCCGACAAAACAUACUUCUUUGUGGGAUUGUCCAAAGGGCCCAUCGAAAACUGCAGCCUGCAUGGUGUUACUGAAUCCAAGGAAGUGCCACGGAUUACUGAAGAAGAUAAGAAAAGCGACACAGAAACCCAAGAGAGACAGUGUGUGCCGCCAACAGCUGAAAAUGUUACAGAAAUCAGCACCAAACAUAAUGAUUACCCAAAGGUGAACUUCAUGUCACUGGCAGUAAAUGGCUUGAGGAUAUUGUUUGCUAAAACUGUGACUUUCAACAUGCUGAUGACCCUGAAGGCUGUGGUGUUCUAAGGAUGCUUUCUGAAGCAGAACCAUUGGAUAUGCCCGCGCCUGUUUGAAAUGACCGCUUUAGCAAUAUCGAUUCAUAAGCUUUCUUCAGCGCAAUGCGGUAUUACUGUAUCCAUCUGUGUGUAAUUGUUCUGUUCAUUUAAGUUGCUUCAAUAAGAGGACUGAUUGGAAUAUGUCCACAGUAUUUCAGAUGUCCCAUGAAUGCAAUUCUGGGAAUUAACUUAGUGUAGUGUCCCCCGAAUUUUGCAUAUAAGUUUGUACAUUUAGAAGUAUUUUGUUUGAUAAUUUUACUUCUCCAUAAUCCUAAUUGUGAUCAUGUAACUUUUUGCAUGGUCACAUUUAGUCAAUACCAACACCAACAUGUACAUACAAUUUUAAAAUAUAUAUUUUUUUUACUGGUAAGGCCAGAAUUAUUAUAAUAUUAGCUGAAUGUGCUUCCUAUUCGACAAUAGUCAUUGGGAUAUAUAUACCACAUAUAUACAAAUAUAUAUGUUUUUUUGCUUACUUUUAUUUUACAAAGUUGAAAAUGAUGAGGACAAACAAUAAUGAGUGGCAUUCUGUAUAAUUGGUUCCAUGCCAACUUUUAUGACCAGAUUUAAUUCAAAAUGUAUGGUUUGUCCAAAUGGAUGUAUUUGUAUUCGUAAUUAUAAAGUAAAUGUUGUUUUUAUUGCUGCAGAUUGCCCAUGGUCUGUACUGGAAAAUACAUUUUAUGAAAGCCCUUUAAAAAUUUCAUUGAAAAAUCUAAUGAAAUCGAAUUAUUAUUUUUUCAUUAAAAAUUACAGCGUAUAGUAUUUACACAAAAGUUCCAGAUGAAAAUGACCAUGAUUAACCAAAUGCAUGAUUUAAAUGUUAUUGCAGUUGCAAUUCAGUUUACAGAAUUAUAUGUUGAAUGGCUUCACUGUAUUUGUAUUGCUGAGCCUGUGCAGAACAUAUUAAUGUGUGUUACAAUAAAGCAAAUGGCAUUUUAACCUUCA
Anguilla anguilla (European eel) is the source of this 1703-nucleotide RNA transcript. RefSeq lists it as uncharacterized. The transcript is spliced from 5 exons. The record is from RefSeq and is a predicted model, not a curated record. NCBI's taxonomy places the organism in Eukaryota, Metazoa, Chordata, Actinopteri, Anguilliformes, Anguillidae.